This 301-nucleotide ribosomal RNA is filed under the name uncultured bacterium. Its description in RNAcentral is "partial 16S ribosomal RNA". It matches the Rfam family "Bacterial small subunit ribosomal RNA", at positions 509 to 808 of the family's 1533-position model. The record is from RNAcentral.
CAGUAGCCACGGUAAUACAGAGGGUGCGAGCGUUAAUCGGAUUUACUGGGCGUAAAGCGUGCGUAGGCGGCUUCUUAAGUCGGAUGUGAAAUCCCUGAGCUUAACUUAGGAAUUCAUUCGAUACUGGGAAGCUAGAGUAUGGGAGAGGAUGGUAGAAUUCCAGGUGUAGCGGUGAAAUGCGUAGAGAUCUGGAGGAAUACCGAUGGCGAAGGCAGCCAUCUGGCCUAAUACUGACGCUGAGGUACGAAAGCAUGGGGAGCAAACAGGAUUAGAUACCCCCGUAGUCCCUGUCUCUUAUACC